Molecule: non-coding RNA, 21 nt
Filed under: Arabidopsis thaliana (thale cress)
Lineage: Eukaryota; Viridiplantae; Streptophyta; Magnoliopsida; Brassicales; Brassicaceae
Source: RNAcentral
UAUGGAUGGCUUAUAGUGGAC